Ornithodoros turicata is the source of this 757-nucleotide long non-coding RNA. RefSeq lists it as uncharacterized. The transcript has 2 exons. The record is from RefSeq and is a predicted model, not a curated record. Lineage: Eukaryota; Metazoa; Arthropoda; Arachnida; Ixodida; Argasidae.
CAGCCUUCCUCUGGUGUUUUGUGGUACGACCGAACUGGCGACUACGAUGGGAUCGGUUCGUCGGUAUCGACCACAACAAGGAAUACCGCAUGUCCAGUUAUGGGUGACUACUCGACCCCCUCCACCCGGACCUUCACAAAAGAGGGGAAGCUACGGAGAUGAAGAGGACCUGGAAUGAAUUCCAAGCGGGUGAUGCUGUGAAAGUAAAGUGUAGCAGAACGGAUGGUCCUGCAUGGCUACCGGGAAGGACACAAAAGGGGUUGAGCGCUGCUACAUAUACAGUAAGAAUCGAUAACUAAGAACGAUUUGCGCACGUAGAUAACAUCGCAAAGUUCCACGAAACGAGCCCGACGAUGCCUCUUCCAACACCAUUCGUCAAGUCUUGGGAUGACAACGGGGUCCAGACCCUCACUCCUGACAAUAUCGUCGAGGAACGUUCGCUGGCACUCCAUUUCCCGGAGACAACGUCCCGGAAGGACAGCUCUCAAGACUUACAAGCUCAGUCGACAGACUCGACUAGUCGUCACCACAGCGUGGAACACCCUGUCGAAAGCGGCCCCGUUCCUUUGUGAAGUACACGGAGAAGACGUCCGCCUCAACGUUACGUGAUUUAACUUAGGGUGGAGGAACGUUGUAAUAAGGUGCUAACGCUUAGCACGUCGGGGGUGAUUUGGUGACGCGUGUGAUAACCAUGCGGCUAACGCAGCGCCACCCUCCUGUGUAAAAGUCAAAUGAAUAAAGAUGUUCUUUCACUUUC